AACGCACAUGCACCACUUGGGCUGAUGUCUUCCAAGAAGGUGUGGACUCUGAGCAAUAGUCUGGCUAUGGGAAGAGAUGGAGUCCAUGUUGCCUCGCCUGGUCUUGGACUAUUGGCCUCAAGCGAUCAUCCUACCUCAGCCUCUCAAAGUGCUAGCAUUCAAGCUCACAAACAAGAGUUUUGAACCUAGGCAGGCUAAGCAGUGAUCUUGAGGACUGAAAGGGGAAACUGCUGUCAAUUAAUAGGACAUCAAACACCCAUACUCUACUGGAAAAAUGUGUCCACAGACAUUUGCUUGAGAGGAGGAGGUGGCUGGUGAAGAGCCCUAUGGUUGCUCUCCUGUGUCUUCACUCUUAGCAGCUACAACAUGCACAAGAUUCAGUGCAUUCAAUAAUUAGUUCUCAGCAUCCUGUGAACUGGCGAUCUAUUUCCAGAAUGAUUUAGUGCAGUUUCCUCUAAGUCCAUGCUAAAAGAGGAAAUAAUUAGGCUCAGAAGCAUUUAACUUAAAACUGGUGUUUCUACUUAUCUACAAUGACUGUGCUAAUUAGGCCUCUCAUAAAUUUCUCUGACAUACUUCACUCUACAACCUCGAGCCUUUACCUCAUGUGUUCCCCUGGGAUCUAGAAUGGUGCUGGAAAACCACUGAGAUGGGAGCCUCUUAGUCUGGACUCCCUGGAGGAAGAGUAAUUCACUUAAGAAAAAGUUUGCCAUCCCCCGAUCUACAUGAUACUUAUGAGAAAAAUGAGGCUCAAGGACGUUCAAUGGUAUUUCGGUAUUUCGGUAUUUCGAUGUCACUCUGCUACUUACUGGUGGCACCAAGAUUUAAAGAUGUGCCUAUCUGACUUUAAAUGAAAGCCUACGUUCUUUACAGUUCUCCAAAUCAAAACUUGAAGAUAAAACCCCAACUUCCUCCAAAGUAUACUGUAUGAGUGGCACAGCACAUUACAAGCUGAGAAAGAUGAGCUAUGAAUAAUAAUGCUAUUUUUAAAGAUCCUUGUGAGACAUAAUAACUGUUGGAAACUUCAGCUAUAUAAGAAUACUGCACUGUAAGUUAUCUUUUUCCUUCGACUUCUAAUUUAACUCUAAAUUAUAGCAGUUAUAAUUAAGAGCAAAAAUUAUACGACAAACCAUUUGGGGGAAAAAAACAAACGGAAUCUUGCCAGCAAAAUUGACAUUAGUUUCAAUGUACAGCUUUCACAUUGAAACAGACUCUAAAAUAUUUGAUGUGUUCACGUAAUAUGAUAUGGUUCACCUGUAUGAACUUGCUGACUCUUUCCCAGGCUGGAUAGGGCAGGGCAGGGCAAAGUGUGCUUAAAAUAAAAGUCUUUAGCAUGGCUUUUGUUUGAAACAUCCGUUUCUCUUUUUUGCUUAACUCCUUAACUACCCAGUCAGCCAAAACAAGGUACUUUGUAGAGACUUUUUGCAGAUAUCUGGUGGAAGAUAAUGCUAUGGAAAAAACUGCUGCUGCUCCCCUGUUCACACUGCCUCACCUGAGCCUUCAGAGUUUAGCAGCUUUUACAGGCAGCCAUUAAAUCCUCCCCAAGUGCCAUUGGCACCAUAAAAGCACAAGGCUUUAAAAACAGACACCAGAGAAGAGUGCUGAGCUGGCUCAAUUCAUACCGAGGCCAGCAAAUGCAGGAAAAGUAGUAUGUCUCCAAGACCUCAAUCUUCCCUAGACAGAGUCUAGCUGUUGUAUCAAUCUGAGAAAGGUUAGUUGAGGAGGGAAUAGAAUGGUAGACCAUGGCUUAUUUUGACUCUUAAGACAAGUUAGAAUUUAGGUUUUGGAAAGUCAAAGUCCAUGUGUCUCAGUCAGUCAGGAUAAAAUGAAAGGGAAGAAAUAAGUUAGUACCAUAGUACCAAUCCUCGCAGACACAUGUAGGAAGCAGAGAUCAAAGCCUUCACUCCACAAAUGUAAUCUGGGGGCAUGCGGCACUUUCUAGCAUUCAGGCAAUGAAUGUAGUCAUCUUACUUGCUAAUUUUCACUCAUUCUCUCCUGGAGGAGGGAGAAGGGGAUAAAAUUCCCAGCAAUCAGAACAAAAUAGUAGAAGUAUUUACUAAUUGUUCAGUGGGGAAGGCAGUGAAAGUACUGACUAGAGUGUGGCAUGGGGAUUUCCAGUUCCUACAUAUUCUAGUUUUCUGUUAGCACAAAGAAUGGGGUUGGAUAUAAACAUAACCCUGAAAGGCUCCUGCGAGAACAGCCUUUGACCUCAGCCCAUUACUCACUGGAAAUGAGUCCAGCACAUGGGUUCUAGCAGGACACACUCUGAAUCUGCCAGGGCACGUUGCGCAGUCUCAAGGUCAGGAUGACCCACAGUAUCAGACAGCUUCUGCCAAGUCAGCUUUUACCCCUGGAAGAACCAUAGAAGAGGGAGAGCCAUUAAUUCACAUUUUUCUCAGUCCAUUUUACCUCUGAACAUCCUACUAGAUGGCUUGUACCUUCAAAGGGGAAUGUUCCAGCAGCCCAGGACACUUGGCCAAGUCUCCGCUGGGACUCUUGGCUUGUUCUUUUUUUGCCUGCCUUUCUUCCAUUUCUCACAUGGCAAACUCACCUGAAGAGGCACAGCUGAGCCAUUACCAUCUCUGUGCCUUCUUUUUUCACUCCCUCAACCAGAGUCCAUUACUUUCUUGCACAUAUUUCCUCACAUCCUGUGUGUCUAUAAUUUCCACAUAGAAAUCAUCACACCAUGUGGAGGCAUCUGAUGAUUUUCUGCCCACUCAUCACUACACUGUAUUUAUCUUUGUAGCCAGAGCACUCAGCUCAGUACCUGGCAAUAAGUAAAGUAAGCAUUCAUUCAAGAGGUCUUUGCUUAUGACUCAUCAAAAAUGUGAUUAUGGAUUACUUUAUAAGAUAAAUAUUACAUUAAGUCUUAAUUAUAAUUAUUACAUUAAGUUAAUUAAAAGUAAAUAUUAAUUUAAAUAUUACCCCCCAAAUCUGAAAACCUAACGUAUGUUCACAUUUACUAAAAGAAAGAAAAAGUUUAAGCAAAAAGGAAAGAGGCAAAGGGCAGGAAGAAUAAAGCUUUGCUAAGGGAUGUAUGCAGGUAGCAUCUCAUUCUAGAAGCCAAAUAGAUGGGACAUGUGGUCCUUCACUACUUACAGCUACAGGGAAAAUAUAGACAGAAAGCUAUCCAGAACAGGGUGACUAACCAAUUUCAUGUUCAAAGGGGCUAAGAGUGGGAAGGUACCUGGAGCUGAAAGGUAGUUCAGGGAUUCCAAGGCUGAGGAAAUGGAUGUGUGCCUUGCCAGCCUCAUCCCUGAUCAAGAUUAGAUCCCUAAGUUCAAGAUUAGAGCUGUUUGACUUCUACUAUAGGUAGACAAACAGAAGCCAGAUGAAGAGAAGUUUCUAUCAAACAAGCACCAUUUCCACAUGCUCCGCUUGUGGAAUACAGUAGAAAUAUUGCAUUGAUAUAGUAGGACCCACACAACACAUGCUUUAUGAAAAAUUUAUUGUACAAUCUCUUUAAAAAAUAAUUUGGCAUUAUUCUCUAAAGGUAUGCCUAUAUAUAUUCUAAUACGUACUCUAUAACCUAGGACUUCCACUAUUAGGAGAAAAAUUCUUGCACAGGGGCAAUGGAAGUCAUGCACCAAAACAUUCACAGCUGUACUUUUGUAAUAGAAAAAAGCAAACUGAGAUCUCCAUCAACUAGAGGAUAGAAAAUGAACUAUGCAUGUAAAAAUAUUAAAUAGCAGUAAGAAUGAAUUAACUACAGAUACAGACAACAUUAUGGGGGAAUCUUAGAAAAAAAAUAAGCAAGUUGCAGAUGACAAUACUUAGAAUGAUUAAUUUUUUUCUUAAGCCCCCAAAUAAGGAAAGUUAAGUGAGAUGUCAUUUAGCAAUAUGUACAUGUGUAGGAAGAUUACUGUGGAAAAAAGCAAGAAAUUUAAGCAGUGGGAUAUGUAAGAGGAUGGAAUUGAGGAGCACAUAUGUAAUUUUGACUGUUGGUGGUAUGUUCACAGGUAUGCAUUUCUUGCUAUGCUUUUGACAAACACAUACGUUACAUGCUUUAUUCUGUAUCAAUCAAAUAUUAUAUAAAUUAAAUUAAUAUUUUAUUACUAGAAGGCAUUUGUUUUGAAAAUGUUUUAUACCUAGAAGCUUUGCUAUCUAUUUUGCCACCAUAGAAGCCUAGACAGGUGAAAACUCAGAUAUGGAGUACAAACUUCUUCAACAUGAAACAACUUUUUAAGAAACCAUUCUGCCUCAACUGAAAGAUGAGCAAGUCCAGGCACAGGGGCUCAAUUAAUUUGCUCAAAGUUACCCAACAGGCAAAUGCCAUUUUUAUUUCCUUCAUUGUCUAGCCAAUAACAGUCACUUGAGCUGUUUUUACUUGAGGAAACAAACAGAUAAAAUCAGGGUAAACUUUUCACUAGGUGAAACAAUAUUCCAAAAGGGCUCAGAUUUAGAUUUUUAUAGUAAGUGAUUUUUUUUUUCCUUGGGAAGAACCUCUCUCUGAACAUUUCCACAAUAAACUGGCAGAACAAAAGACUGAGGCUACUCAAGUUCUGGAAAUAUUUAGGGAUUGUUUCCUACCAGAACACCCUUUGCUCUCCGCAUGUGAAAUACAGAGAAUCAAGGCUCCAAUAACAGCUUAGGGAUACAGAUAUCAAAGGAAAAGUUGAAGGUCCAACAUGCUUCAUAUUUUAAUAAAUGAGAAAAGACCCAGUCAACUGGAAUUGCCUUUGAAGUAAUUGUGCUACACUUCAUGCCCGGUUUAAUCAUAGCAUAACACAGAGCUAAACAGAGAAAUAUUGCAAAAAAAAAAGAAAAAAAAAUAAAGAAUAUAAGAGGAAUUUCUCUGUAGCCAGUGUCACAAUAGAUGUGUUGGAAGUGGAGAAGCUCCGCCUUGGAGUGGGGACGCUCAGCUACACCUGCCUGAGGCUGUACUUCUAUGUAAUUACUAGAGAGUGUGGCUCACAAAGGACACACCCCCAAGGGCCCUGGAGCCACAAAUUCUAUGAAGAAAAAGAAAGAGAAAACCUGGAGGAUUUGUCCUUGGCAUGCUCAACUGUGAGGAAGAUCUGAUUCAGUUUGUCUCUUCCCAUAAAUCCCCAUGGAAAAUGUCAUGUCUCUGUGAAAAGGCAGUUCUUCCAAUGUUUACAGAAAGGCAUAGAGAUUCAACUGUCUUCUGGAAGGGGUCAGCAGGGGCAAAAUGAAUAUAGAGAGGAUAAAUUCAUAUCCUUAACACAAAAACAAAAAGGAGGGGGCUUAAAAUGAUAUGGUGGAAUAAUGGCGGAACACUUUGAAGCACAUACAAACUUAAAUGAGAGUUCACAGAGGAAGCCACUAUUACACAAGGAAUGUAAGAGCACCUAACCAUACAUUAAAAAGAGGUAUACAGAGACUGAAAGAGGAAAGGGAUUUUCCCCCAUUGUCUUUUUUUAAACAGCUUUAUUAAAGCAUAACUGAUGUACACUGAACUUUACAUAGUUAAUAAGUUAAUAGGUUUUGACAUAUGUAUCCCUCCCUGGAACUGUCACCACAAUCAAGAUAAUGAACAUAUUCAUCACUACCAGAAGUUUAUUCAUGCCUCUUUGUAAUCCCACCUUUGCAAUCCUCCCCACUCCCAUGCCUAGGGAACCACUGAUCUGCCAUACAGAUUAGUUUGCAUUUUCUAAGAUUUUAUAUAAAUGAAACCAUAAAAUUUUUAUUUUGCAUAAUUAUUUUGAGAUUAAUCCAUAUUGUAGCUCAUAAGGUAGUCUAAUUCCUUUUCAUUACUGAGUAAUAUUCCAUUGUACGGAUACACCAUAGUCUGUUUAUUCAUUCACCUGUAUGUGGACAUUUGAGUCAUAUCCAGUUUUUGGCUAUAAUCAUUCAUGUUCAAGUCUCUGUAGGUCUUAGGCUUGUUAAAUAAAAUUGAUGGUGGGGGGUGGGGGGCAUUGUUAUGGGCUGAGCUCCUGCACUAGGUGUAACAGAUCAGACCAAACCAGAAUAGAGUCACUCAUGCUAGGUGCCAUGAGGUCAAACUGAACAGGAGAUUCACAGCAACUGACAGAAGCCCAAUCUACUGGAACUGGCAUGAUAAUGAAAUCCUCUUUACUUUAAUUGUAUAAGGAAAGUAACUUUGAAAUGGCCAAUCUGCUUUUUUUCUGCUUUCUUAAGCUAUUUUCUACCUGUAAAGCCCACCUACUACGUUCAGCUUAGUGGAGUGCCUUUCUUUUUCAUAUAUGGAAUGCUGGUCGAUUAAUGGAUCACUAAUAAAGGCCAAUUAAAUUAUUAAACUCAAUUUGCUAAAAAUUUUUUGUUUGUUUGUUUUGAGACAGAGUCUAGCUUUGUUGCUAGGCUGGAGUGCAGUGGUGCGAUCUCGGCUCACUGCAACCUCUGCCUCCUGGGUUGAAGCGAUUCUCCUGCCUCAGCCUCCCGGGUAGCUGGGACUACAGGCACACUCCACCACGCCCAGCUAAUUUUUGUAUUUUUUUAGUAGAGAUGGGGUUUCACCAUGUUGCCCAGGAUGGUCUCGAUCUGACCUCAUGAUCCAUCCACCUCGGCCUCCCAAAGUGUUGGGAUUACAGGCGUGAGCCACCGCAGCUGGCUAAAAUUUUGUUACAUGGACAGCUUUCAUUUCUCCUGAGUAAAUGCCCAGGAAGGGAGCAGCUAUAUCAUAUGGUUCAUAUAUGUUUAAUUUUUUAAGAAACUGUUCAACUGUUUUUCCAAAUUUGCUGUACUAUUUUACAUUCUCACCAGUAGUAUAUGAGGAUUCCAGUUGCUUCACAUCCUUCACAAACACUUGAUACGGUCAGUCAUUUUCAUUUUAGUUAUUCUAAUAGGUGUACAGUGGCAUCUCCUUGGGUUUUUAAUUUGCAUUUUCUUAAUGACAAACGAUGUUGAAUAUAUUUCAUGUACUUAUUUGUCUUUAUAUAUUUCCUUUGGUGAAGUGUCCCUUCAGAUCUUUUGUCCAUUGUUGUAUGGGGUUGUUUUCUUAUUAUUGAGUUUUAUGAGUUCUUUAAAUAUUCUGCAUGUAACUUCUUUUUCAGAUAUAUAAUUCUGUACAUAUUUUCUUCCAGGCUGUGGUUUAUUUUUUCAAUCUUUUAGUAGUAUUUUCUAAAAGCCUGAGUUUUUAAUUGCAAUGAAACCCAACUUAACAAGUUAUUCUUUUAUCAGUUGUGUUUUGGUGUACUAGCUAAGAAAUCUUUGCCUAAGCCCAAGUCACAAAGGUUUUCACUUACGUUUUCUUUUACAAUUUCAUAGUUCGAUAUUUAAGUCUAUAAUCUUUUUGAGCAAAUGUUUAUAUAUAGUGUGAAUUGUUGAUUGAAGUUUGUUUGUUUUUACAUGUGAAUAUACAAUUGUUGAAAAGACUAGUGCUAUUUGUUGAAAAGACUAUCUCUUUACACUAAUGACCAUUAC
Molecule: long non-coding RNA, 7338 nt
Filed under: Homo sapiens (human)
Lineage: Eukaryota; Metazoa; Chordata; Mammalia; Primates; Hominidae
Description: HSALNT0088934
Source: RNAcentral